This 514-nucleotide ribosomal RNA is filed under the name uncultured Glomus. RNAcentral describes it as "SSU rRNA". It matches the Rfam family "Eukaryotic small subunit ribosomal RNA", at positions 569 to 1078 of the family's 1831-position model. Lineage: Eukaryota; Fungi; Glomeromycota; Glomeromycetes; Glomerales; Glomeraceae. The record is from RNAcentral.
AGCAGCCGCGGUAAUUCCAGCUCCAAUAGCGUAUAUUAAAGUUGUUGCAGUUAAAAAGCUCGUAGUUGAAUUUCGGGAUCGAUGCGUUGGUCGUGCUUUUUGGUACGUACUGGCGUCAUCGGUUUCUCCUUUCUGACGAGCCGUGAUGUCAUUAAUUUGGUGUUACGGGUAGUUAGGACUGUUACUUUGAAAAAAUUAGAGUGUUUAAAGUAGGCAUUGGCUUGAAUACAUUAGCAUGGAAUGAUGAAAUAGGACGUUCGAUCCUAUUUUGUUGGUUUCUAGGAUCAACGUAAUGAUUAAUAGGGAUAGUUGGGGGCAUUAGUAUUCAAUUGUCAGAGGUGAAAUUCUUGGAUUUAUUGUAAGACAUAACUACUGCGAAAGCAUUUGCCAAGGAUGUUUUCAUUAAUCAAGAACGAAAGUUAGGGGAUCGAAGACGAUCAGGUUACCGUACGUAGUCUUCAACCAUAAACUAUGCCGACUAGGGAUCGGAUGAUGUUAAUUUUUUAAUGACUCA